Molecule: long non-coding RNA, 284 nt
Organism: Rhagoletis pomonella (apple maggot)
Lineage: Eukaryota; Metazoa; Arthropoda; Insecta; Diptera; Tephritidae
Exons: 2
Source: RefSeq, a predicted model, not a curated record
GAUGUGAUGAAAUUUCGAGCACUGCUAACAGCAUACAUAUGAUACUUAUUUGCUGCAUCUACCAGAUAAUUUUGCAAAUGAUGUUAACGGUGCCUUUAGGAGUUUAUUUAAAGGUCGACUUUCUGUUUUAAGCACGCAAACUAAUCAAACUUUGACCAAUGCAAAUAUGAAGGAUGUCUACGAUUUUAAUAUACCGAACCUUAUGGAUUUAGCACCUUUAAGGUAACUUGUUAACACAUUGUAUUAUUGCACCGUUUUCUGUAACACUAUUUCUAUAACUUAUU